RNAcentral lists this ribosomal RNA (497 nucleotides) under uncultured bacterium. RNAcentral describes it as "partial 16S ribosomal RNA". It matches the Rfam family "Bacterial small subunit ribosomal RNA", at positions 28 to 507 of the family's 1533-position model. The record is from RNAcentral.
GAUGAACGCUGGCGGCGUGCCUAAUACAUGCAAGUCGAGCGAACGGACGAGGAGCUUGCUUCUUGGAUGUUAGCGGCGGACGGGUGAGUAACAUGUGGAUAACCUACCUAUAAGACGGGUAUAACUUCGGGAAACGGGCGCUUAUCGCGGAGAAUAUUUUGAAGCGCGUGGUUCAAUGGAGAGAGACGGUGGUGCUGUCACGUAUAGAUGGAUCCGCGCUGCAUUAGCUAGUUGGUAAGGUACCGGCUUAUCAAGGCAACGAUGCAUAGCCGACAUGAGAGGAUGAUCGGCCACCCUGGGAGUGAGACCCGGUCCAGAGUCCUUCGGGAGCCACCAGUAGGGAAUCGUGCGCCAGGGGCGGAAGCCUGACGGAGAAACGCCGCGUGAGUGAUGAAGGUCUUCGCAUCGUAAAACUCUGUUAUUAGGGAAGAACAGAUGUGUAAGUAACUGUGCACAUCUUGACGGUACCUAAUCAGAAAGCCACGGCUAACUACGUG